GGGGCAGUAGUUAGUGGCAGUUAGGACUGUAGUUUGCGGCAGUUGGGACAGUAGUUAGCGGCAGAUGGGACAGUAGUUAGGGGCAGCUGGGAUAGUAGUUAGGUGGAGUCGGGACAGUACUUAGCGACAGUUUUGACAGUAGUUAGGGGCAGUUGGGACAUUAGUUAGCGGCAGUUGGGACAGUAGUUAGCGGCAGAUGGGACAGAUGUUAGUGGCAGUUGAGAUAGUAGUUAGGUGUAGUUGGGACAGUACGUAGCAACAGUUGGGACAGUAGUUAGGGGCAGUUGGGACUUCAGUUUGAAGCAGUUGGGAAAGUAGUUUGCGGGAGUUGGGCCAGUAGUUAGCGGCAGAUGGAACAGUAGUUAGCGGCAGUUGGGACAGUGGGUAGGUGCAGUUGGGACAGUACUUUGCAACAGUUGGGACAGUAGUGAGUUGUAGUUGGGACAGUACUUAGCAACAGUUGGGACAGUAGUUUGAAGCCUUUGGGAAAGUAGUUUGCGCGAGUUGGGCCAGUUGUUUGCAGCAGAUGGGACAGUAGUUAGCGGCAGUUGGGACAGUGGGUAGGUGCAA
This is a long non-coding RNA of Ictalurus punctatus (channel catfish), 570 nucleotides long. The record is from Ensembl. NCBI's taxonomy places the organism in Eukaryota, Metazoa, Chordata, Actinopteri, Siluriformes, Ictaluridae.